UACGAAGGGGGCUAGCGUUGCUCGGAAUCACUGGGCGUAAAGCGCACGUAGGCGGAUUUCUAAGUCAGGGGUGAAAUCCUGGAGCUCAACUCCAGAACUGCCUUUGAUACUGGGAAUCUCGAGUCCGGGAGAGGUGAGUGGAACUGCGAGUGUAGAGGUGAAAUUCGUAGAUAUUCGCAAGAACACCGGUGGCGAAGGCGGCUCACUGGCUCGGUACUGACGCUGAGGUGCGAAAGCGUGGGGAGCAAACAGG
Molecule: ribosomal RNA, 253 nt
Filed under: uncultured bacterium
Lineage: Bacteria
Description: partial 16S ribosomal RNA
Rfam family: Bacterial small subunit ribosomal RNA
Source: RNAcentral